RNAcentral lists this long non-coding RNA (4090 nucleotides) under Canis lupus familiaris (dog). Its description in RNAcentral is "lncRNA (ENSCAFG00040006089.1)". Lineage: Eukaryota; Metazoa; Chordata; Mammalia; Carnivora; Canidae. The record is from RNAcentral.
CCCCUCCUCGGCACGGGAGCGCUUGCUUCCGGUCGUCCCCCGAGACCCGGCGACCCUCUCCCGGCCCGGCCCGGCCCGGCCCGGCCGCCCGGGCCUCGCGCAGAGAAGCAUCCCCGCGGCCACUACGACUCCGCGCUCGCCCUCACGCAGCGCCCGCGCGGAGGCGGGGAGGGGGCGUGGCUGGCCCUUCUAGGCCUCGGCAGCCAAUGAGCGUGCCGCGUGCCUUCCGGUCGGCGAGCCGGCCAAUCCGCGCUGGGCGCUGUCAUCUUCGGCUCCGCUCGGCUCUUUUCGCUGCUGCGGGAGCCUGGGGGCCGCGGCCGCUCGGGAGACGCUUUCCUUUCUAAUUUUUUUUCCAUGUGUUCACUUCCGGGUCCGGCGCCGAUCCGGAUGCCCGAGGCAGAAGGAUGUUUGACCUCCGGAUAAGCGAGGCGCCGCCGUGCAUUCAUUCCCGGCCGCAUCGGUGGCGGCAGCAGCGACCCGGGCGGCGACUCUCCGGCCAGAGGCGGCGGUAGGAGGCCCCGGCAGGCGUGCGGGGAGCGCGUCGGCGCCGAGCUGCGUUCCCUCCCUCGCUCGCUGCUUCCCCCUGCCUCGCUCGCCCGCCCGCUCCCUCCCUGCGUGGCUCGCUUUCCUCCUCCGGUCGCCGGCGGCUGGGAUGUGCCGCCGCCGCCGCCGCUGACGGACGGAGCAGGGGCGCCGCCCGCGCCCGGGACCGACCCCCAGCUCGCGGCCGCGCCUCCGAGGCACUGAAAGAAACCUGCCAUCAGACAAACUGUGUGGCUUUGGCAUGGCUGCUCUGGAAUGUACAGACACCACGGCUUCCAGGGGAGCUUGCAUUUCUGGAUAUGCAUCAGGUAUUCGUAGUUCGUAUUAGGAUGGGGACAGAAAGGUUCAUUUUAAUGUUGAUAGGUCUGAGACUUUGUGGGCGGGACUCAGAAAAUGAUACUCUUCAGUGCUGCUUUAGUGUGCUCAGUGAUGUCUCCCGCCACUCAUCAGCUCAAGAAUCUGUACAUUAUGUCCUUAUUGAUAUUUUCAUUGUUCACUUCCCAGAGCACUGCCUGUUAACAAAAUCUCCACGACGGUAUUCAUUUAUUCCUUCAACUAAAAAGACAGGAAUUCUAGUCUAGGUGUAGUGUAGUAGCUUUAGCAUGUGCAAGGGAUGUUUACUCUGUUGUGAGGACGGAAGAGUGGUUAAAAUAUGAAGAUGAAUCAGACCCAGCCGUCAUCUUAAACGGAGAAGCAGACAUGCACUGAAAUAGUUGCAACACAAGACACCUGUGGGAUUUAUUACAGGUGCAUGGAAGCCCGGUGUGUGUGUAUGUAUGCGUGUCUGUAUGCGUGUGUGUGUGUGUGUGUGAGAGAGAGGGGAGGGGAGAUAGAGACAGAGAGACAGAUCUUUUUUGACUGGGGAAUUCUGAAUUACUUUGGAGUUGGCAACACUCCAUUUGGGCAUUAAAAUAUUAUAGUGUGCCUAAUGGGAUUUGGCGUGUGUGUGUGUGUGUGUGUGUAUGUACGUGUGUAUGUACGUGUGUAGGGAGUUAGUGUUCUAGGCAAAGAAAACAGCUGGAGCACAGGCAUGUAGGUUGGGUCUUACCGGGGCGUGUUAGCUGGAUACGAGGCUGUGCCAAGGAGGUCUUUGUGAGAGAGGAAGCUGAGAAAAUAGGUGGAGAUCAGGCCAUGGAAGUCCAGAAUGCCUUGUAUUUAAAAAAUGAGUCAGUUUGAGGCAUAAAGUUCCAAAUGUCCAGAUGUUAUGCUUCGAGGAAGUAGGUAGGCAACAAGUAAGGAUAGUAGUUCAAGGAAACAAAGUAUAACCGAGAAAUCAACCUGUUAGCAUUUAUGCUAAUGCAGAAUGUGGAGAAGUUCCUAAUCAGCAACAAUCCAUACCUGGCUUUGUCCUGUUUCUGUACUUGAAUUUGAAUAUGGGUGUGUGUGUAAUCUGGUCAUUGGUUGUAUAUGACAUGAAUCCGGUUGUAAAGAUGAUCCUCCAGAAGAAAUGAGAAGCUCUCUAUUUCUCUGUAAUCCCCUCCAUCCCGGCAGUAGGGUAGUUUUCUGGUGUAGUUGAUGAUUCAGAGUUCUUCGAAGGGAACAAGUGGUGUUCAAGUGUCAGAGGGCCCCAAAGAUAUAUUUUUAAAAUUUAUUCAUGAGCGACAGAGAGAGAGAGAGCGGAGACACAGGCGGAUGGAGAAGCAGGCUCCACACAGGGAGCCCGACGUGGGACUGGAUCCCUGGUCUCCAGGAUCUAAGCCUCUGAGCCACCCAGGGAUCCCGGCAAGGGAUACUUCAAACUAAAUAGAGGGAAUGCUGAAAUACUAAACAACAAAACAAAACAAAACACGGGUCAUUGGAUAAUUAUUAUUAUUUAAUGUGAGAUUCACUACGGAUAAAGUGAAAUGUAAGGAAUCUACCUACAGGGAGGGGAGAAUUGACCAUAACAGUGGGAUCAUAAAAUGGGAAACCUCCACAGUUCUGGAUAAUAUGUGUAAGGUCUUUAGUUAUCUUAAAUGUGAAAUGACCCUAAAAUCAUUUAAUCCUAAACUUUAUCGCUACCAAAGAAGUACUCGGAGAGAUACCGCCCUCACGGUAACAGUGGUUAUGUCCGUGUGGACUCACAUUACAAGGAAGAUUGCGUGAUGGAUUUUGCCAACUAUUCCCCUGUAGGUGUUCAAAAAGGAUUUCCGUAACAGAUUUUGUAUUAUGGUGAACCUUCCAAUGACAGCACUAAUACCUGUUAAAAUUUAUUAAGUGCCUGCUUUCUUGUUGUUUUUUAAGAGGUUUUAUUUAUUCAUGAGAGAACAGAGAGAGAGGCCGAAUCAUAGGCACAAGGAGAAGCUGGCUCUGUGUGGGAGCCCAGUGCGGGACUUGAUCCCAAGGCCUCGGGAUCAGGCCUUGAGGGAAAGGCAGACAUUCAAGUACUGAGCCACCCAGGCGUCCCGUAGCGGGGUAUAUUUUUAAAUCAUUAUUUUUUUUGCCCCCGACUUCAGUGUUUAAGACUCUGAAGUUAUCUGUUUUUUGUUUUUGUUUUUUGUUUUCCUGAUCUUCCGUUCUCUUCCUCUUUCGCGUUUUCCCGAGGUUGGCACUUUGUGAUAUUGAUUCGUAGUGUUCGUAUGUGUUUGGGUGUUGGUUCUUCAAGAUGGACCUUUUUUGGAAAUGACCAUUUGGUGGAUAUCUGGUAGCUCUUUAAUUGUAGAGAUUCCAUAGGAACGACAGUAUGGUUCUACGUGACUAAAGACACCUCAGCGUAUCCUUUCGUGUUGAUCAACAGGUCAGAACCGUGUUUGGGUUUCACGUUGUGUAGAAAUCAAGUGUGUAUUAUCCAUGAAUGUGAAGUGACUUUGGAGAGGUACUGCAUUACUCAGGAAAUACGAAGUGAGAGAGGUCGGAAGACAGAUAAGGUCUACAGACACAUGAGAGGCUGCUAAUAGACACUUUUUUUCUUUUUUCUUUUCUCGCUGCCUUCUUAAAGCUGGGAUUUAGAAAUCAUAAGUGUAUCCUAAAUUGUAGGUUUUCCUACUAUUAUUGAGGUGAAUACUGAUUUGUUCUUAAACUAUCGUAGGUGCUUGGUUACAUUAUACUCUGCCCUGCUGCUCCCUGCCCAUCAUCUUUGUAAUGAGAAAGGAUUCUUAAUGAUCUUGAAGUGUUUAUGGAUUUGGUAGAGAAGACAGCCCCUUUGGACGUUUUCUGGACUAAUAAUAGAUCAUAGAGUUAUAAUUUAAUUUGACGCAAGUCUAUAGUUGAGUUCUAUCCGCAUAUGCCUAGAUCUGCAUCCACAUAUUUUAUAGCUUUCAGUGCAAUUUAGUAAAAUCUUUGAUACUCCUUUUCCUAGGAUACCUAUGAGUCGUUGGAGGGUUGAUCGGUGGGUAGAAUAAAGAGUGACUCUUGAGAACAGAAUACCUUAGGAGAUUCUGUUUAACUCACCUGUUCACUGAAAAGAUUGAUACUCUUCCUUCAUUUACUGGUUUAUGCGCAUGCUAUAUUAAGUUGCAGUAGACCGCUCUCUAGUUUGUGUUUGAAUUUUUAUUCCCUUUUGUUAUAUUAUGCUUACAAAAGUUAUUUGUGUUUGCCCCCAACAAGUUGUUGGUAUUUGGUGUUGUAA